RNAcentral lists this long non-coding RNA (217 nucleotides) under Mytilus galloprovincialis (Mediterranean mussel). Lineage: Eukaryota; Metazoa; Mollusca; Bivalvia; Mytilida; Mytilidae. The record is from RNAcentral.
CCCCGAUAUGAAAAUGUAAAACAAUUCAAACGAGAAAAACUAACGGCCUUAUUUAUAUAAAAAAAUGAACGAAAAAUAAAUAUGUGAGUCAAUUCUCCAUCCAGGUCACAAUUUAUAAAAGAAAACCAUAACACCUGUUAAUUUAGUUGUUGUAUCAUUGUUUUUGAUUUCUGUUUUUCUGUUUAUUAAUUUAAAGUGAGUUGCAAGGCCCCCCCCC